AGCCACGGCCACGCUUUAUUGCUUAAGACGCACACAGAACACAGAGGAACAAACAAGGAGGAAAGGGCGCCACACACAGCCCAGACCAGGCAGGAGCGGCCCAGCCGCCGGAAGAGAGCAGGGAGCAUCCCCCACCCAGCUGUCCAGUCACUGCCAAGGCUGCAGUUCCAGGUACCGGGGUGCACCUUAGGAGCCCUGUGGGCUUCUUCAGAAGGCAGGGUGACAGUGGGCGCUGCACCCUAGGCAGCAGUGGGAGGUUGCUGGCGGGUCCCACUUGCCCCUCCCCUCAAGCCAGGACCAGCAUCUCCAGGGGAAGCUGCUCCCAGGUCACAGCAGGUCACAGGCAGCCCUGUCUGUGGUGUGAGAUCUGCAGACCCACCCAGCAGAGGAGUAGGGCUGGGUAGUGUCCACACAGCUGCUGCAGGCUCU
RNAcentral lists this long non-coding RNA (429 nucleotides) under Homo sapiens (human). RNAcentral describes it as "HSALNT0156423". The record is from RNAcentral. Lineage: Eukaryota; Metazoa; Chordata; Mammalia; Primates; Hominidae.